This 887-nucleotide ribosomal RNA is filed under the name Clitopilus abprunulus. RNAcentral describes it as "partial large subunit ribosomal RNA". It matches the Rfam family "Eukaryotic large subunit ribosomal RNA", at positions 63 to 937 of the family's 3401-position model. Lineage: Eukaryota; Fungi; Basidiomycota; Agaricomycetes; Agaricales; Entolomataceae. The record is from RNAcentral.
AACUAACAAGGAUUCCCCUAGUAACUGCGAGUGAAGCGGGAAAAGCUCAAAUUUAAAAUCUGGUAGUCUCUGGCUGCCCGAGUUGUAAUCUAGAGAAGUGUUAUCCGCGCUGGACCGUGUAUAAGUCUCCUGGAAUGGAGCGUCAUAGAGGGUGAGAAUCCCGUCUUUGACACGGACUACCAGGGCUUUGUGAUGCGCUCUCAAAGAGUCGAGUUGUUUGGGAAUGCAGCUCUAAAUGGGUGGUAAAUUCCAUCUAAAGCUAAAUAUUGGCGAGAGACCGAUAGCGAACAAGUACCGUGAGGGAAAGAUGAAAAGAACUUUGGAAAGAGAGUUAAACAGUACGUGAAAUUGUUGAAAGGGAAACGCUUGAAGUCAGUCGCGUUGGCUUGGAAUCAGCCUUGCUUUUGCUUGGUGUACUUCCUUGUUGACGGGUCAGCAUCAAUUUUGACCGGUGGAAAAAGGCUAGUGGAAUGUGGCAUCUUCGGAUGUGUUAUAGCUGCUAGUUGUAUACAUCGGUUGGGAUUGAGGAACUCAGCACGCCGAAAGGUCGGGGUUCGCCCACGUUCGUGCUUAGGAUGCUGGCAUAAUGGCUUUAAUCGACCCGUCUUGAAACACGGACCAAGGAGUCUAACAUGCCUGCGAGUGUUUGGGUGGAAAACCCGAGCGCGUAAUGAAAGUGAAAGUUGAGAUCCCUGUCGUGGGGAGCAUCGACGCCCGGACCAGACCUUCUGUGACGGAUCCGCGGUAGAGCAUGUAUGUUGGGACCCGAAAGAUGGUGAACUAUGCCUGAAUAGGGUGAAGCCAGAGGAAACUCUGGUGGAGGCUCGUAGCGAUUCUGACGUGCAAAUCGAUCGUCAAAUUUGGGUAUAGGGGCGAAAGACUAAUCG